AUACGGAGGAUCCGAGCGUUAUCCAGAUUUAUUGGGUUUAAAGGGUGCGCAGGCGGCCAUUUAAGUCAGCGGUUAAAUCGUGGGGCUCAACCCCAUUCUGCCGUUGAUACUGGGUGGCUUGAUUGCGGUCGAGGUUGGCGGAAUUCGUUGUGUAGCGGUGAAAUGCAUAGAUAUGACGAAGAACACCGAUUGCGUAGGCAGCUGACCAGACCGCAAAUGACGCUCAUGCACGAAAGUGCGGGGAUCGAACAGGAUUAGAUACCCUGGUGGUCCGCACAGUAAACGAUGAAUACUUGUUUUCGGCGAUAUAAUGUCGGAGGCAAAGCGAAAGCGAUAAGUAUUCCACCUGGGGAGUACGCCGGCAACGGUGAAACUCAAAGGAAUUGACGGGG
RNAcentral lists this ribosomal RNA (392 nucleotides) under uncultured bacterium. Its description in RNAcentral is "partial 16S ribosomal RNA". It matches the Rfam family "Bacterial small subunit ribosomal RNA", at positions 523 to 918 of the family's 1533-position model. The record is from RNAcentral.